Molecule: long non-coding RNA, 239 nt
Filed under: Gallus gallus (chicken)
Lineage: Eukaryota; Metazoa; Chordata; Aves; Galliformes; Phasianidae
Source: RNAcentral
CCUUGGACAGCAUGUCGAGGCGCUGGUUGAUUUUGGCGAUGAUGGAGUCGGAGUUGUCGCUGGGAGUGGGAUCGCUGCUGUAGGAGGCGAUGCCGACGUCGCUGAGGGGCAGCUCAGGGGCUUUGGGGGUGUCCCAGGAGCUGGGGGUGGCGGUGGGGCCGUAGCUGUAGGUGGCGGCGGUGCUGGAGGCCGUGCUUGGGGCGCUGUAGUAGUUAUAACCUUCGUAGCCUUGUGCAGCC